UACUCCAUAAUUUAACGGUAGAAUAGUAUACUUCUAAUAUGACAAUAUAGGUUCGAUUCCUAUUGGAGUAU
This 71-nucleotide transfer RNA is filed under the name Insectozyma prachuapensis. RNAcentral describes it as "Candida prachuapensis tRNA-Arg". It matches the Rfam family "tRNA". Rfam says of the family: Transfer RNA (tRNA) molecules are approximately 80 nucleotides in length. Lineage: Eukaryota; Fungi; Ascomycota; Pichiomycetes; Serinales; Debaryomycetaceae. The record is from RNAcentral.